GGGGCUAUAGCUCAGUUGGUAGAGCGCGUCGUUCGCAAUGACGAGGUCAAGGGUUCGAUUCCCUUUAGCUCCA
RNAcentral lists this transfer RNA (73 nucleotides) under Sphingomonas sp. Its description in RNAcentral is "tRNA-Ala". It matches the Rfam family "tRNA". From Rfam's summary of the family: Transfer RNA (tRNA) molecules are approximately 80 nucleotides in length. The record is from RNAcentral. RNAcentral also lists the same sequence under 3 other names. Lineage: Bacteria; Pseudomonadati; Pseudomonadota; Alphaproteobacteria; Sphingomonadales; Sphingomonadaceae.